This 605-nucleotide ribosomal RNA is filed under the name Salmonella enterica. Its description in RNAcentral is "partial 23S ribosomal RNA". It matches the Rfam family "Bacterial large subunit ribosomal RNA", at positions 583 to 1190 of the family's 2925-position model. The record is from RNAcentral. RNAcentral also lists the same sequence under 2 other names. Lineage: Bacteria; Pseudomonadati; Pseudomonadota; Gammaproteobacteria; Enterobacterales; Enterobacteriaceae.
CUUCGGGGUGUGACUGCGUACCUUUUGUAUAAUGGGUCAGCGACUUAUAUUCUGUAGCAAGGUUAACCGAAUAGGGGAGCCGGAGGGAAACCGAGUCUUAAUUGGGCGUUAAGUUGCAGGGUAUAGACCCGAAACCCGGUGAUCUAGCCAUGGGCAGGUUGAAGGUUGGGUAACACUAACUGGAGGACCGAACCGACUAAUGUUGAAAAAUUAGCGGAUGACCUGUGGCUGGGGGUGAAAGGCCAAUCAAACCGGGAGAUAGCUGGUUCUCCCCGAAAGCUAUUUAGGUAGCGCCUCGUGAAUUCAUCUCCGGGGGUAGAGCACUGUUUCGGCUAGGGGGCCAUCCCGGCUUACCAACCCGAUGCAAACUGCGAAUACCGGAGAAUGUUAUCACGGGAGACACACGGCGGGUGCUAACGUCCGUCGUGAAGAGGGAAACAACCCAGACCGCCAGCUAAGGUCCCAAAGUCAUGGUUAAGUGGGAAACGAUGUGGGAAGGCCCAGACAGCCAGGAUGUUGGCUUAGAAGCAGCCAUCAUUUAAAGAAAGCGUAAUAGCUCACUGGUCGAGUCGGCCUGCGCGGAAGAUGUAACGGGGCUAAACCAU